UUUUCUACAUUUCACCUCUUUUAAACAGAUGGCACAAUCACUGGAUGUACUGGCUCCGCUACAGAGCUUAGAUUUAUUAUACUUGGCGGCGAUGAAGAUCUAAUGGCUGAUGCGUGUGACAUCAUUCUUAGGGAAAGAGCAGGAAGAACUGAAAUACAGCACAGAAAAGGUCAUGUAUUUGGCAAAAAGGUCAUUGUGUUGAAAACACCUUCUACCUGGAUGAGUCAGGUGGCAUCAUGCCUUUGCUUCUCCUCAAGAGUCAAAUCUAUCAAAGAUGAGAUGGUAUAUUGUGCAUCUCUGGUCUUUCCUGGACCGCAUGCAUUUCUAUUAGUUACUGACAACAGUAAAGUGACUGGGAAGGAACGGUACCUUUUAAGAGCAAUCGCUGAAGUAUUUGGCAAAGAAGCCUUAGACUAUGUUAUGUUAUUGAUAAUUGGAAGAACUGAACCGAAAGGGAUCGACAGUGUCAGGAACUACGUGAGAAAGUUUUACACAUUAGAGGACACUGAGCAAAGUGUUCAAUGUCUGUUCAGAGAAACUGAAAUUAUGACACAAAACAAUGAGUCCACAUUCUUUAUUCAGCCAUCAUAUGAAAACCUCAUGAAAAAGGUAUUUUUAUCAUGGGAAAAGGAAAGAGAUGCUGAAAUACAAAAACAGCAUGCACAAGAGAUGACUGCUUUAGAAGAAAGAUUUAGAACUACUGAAAGUAAUUUAAAGAAAGAAACGGACACUUUGAGAGAGUUGAUGCUGGCCACUAUGAUACGGUUAAAGAAAUACAAAGACAGUGAGGAGCAGAACCAGCAAGGGGCUUCAGGAGCUCAAGAAGAUCUGCUGUUCAAAGAAUGUAGCAACACCGCCUUGAAAAACAUGUUUCCUUCUAUCAUUGAUGAUUUUACUGAACGUGAUAAUGCACUGAAAGAACAGCUUGCGGCUUGUAAAGACACUGUGAGCACCUUGAAGGACAUGUUUUCAUCCUUGACUGAUGAUUAUGUUCAUCAUGACAGUCAGAUAAAGAGUGAAAAUGAGAAGCUCCAAAGAGAACUGGAGCAACACAAACUCAAAGAAAGAGAGUGGGAACAAAAACUUAAGGAAUUGGAGGACAGAUUAAGGCAGGAGAAAGGUCUGAGUAGAAGAGAGAAGGAACUGGAGUCCAAAGAGGGAGGAACGGCAAAGAAAGAGCAAGAAAUCCAAACUACUGGAGAAGAGCAUAAUCUACACCGCAACGUAGAGCUAACUUCUCCUGGGUUAUCUCAAGAACAACGCAGACCUCUAGAUGAAAGAGGAGAGUUGAGCAAAGAUGAAGAUUCACAUGACAGUGAAUCACUUGAGUUUGGAAAACCUGUGAGACGCAACAGCAACCAAUUCGUG
Molecule: long non-coding RNA, 1368 nt
Filed under: Sinocyclocheilus grahami
Lineage: Eukaryota; Metazoa; Chordata; Actinopteri; Cypriniformes; Cyprinidae
Description: lncRNA (ENSSGRG00000001874.1)
Source: RNAcentral